GACGAACGCUGGCGGCGUGCUUAACACAUGCAAGUCGAACGCUGAAGCUCAGCUUUUGUUGGGUGGAUGAGUGGCGAACGGGUGAGUAACACGUGAGUAACCUGCCUCCUUCUUUGGGAUAACGCCCGGAAACGGGUGCUAAUACUGGAUAUUCACUGGUCUUCGCAUGGGGGUUGGUGGAAAGGGUUUUUCUGGUGGGGGAUGGGCUCGCGGCCUAUCAGCUUGUUGGUGGGGUGAUGGCCUACCAAGGCUUUGACGGGUAGCCGGCCUGAGAGGGUGACCGGUCACAUUGGGACUGAGAUACGGCCCAGACUCCUACGGGAGGCAGCAGUGGGGAAUAUUGCACAAUGGGCGCAAGCCUGAUGCAGCGACGCCGCGUGAGGGAUGGAGGCCUUCGGGUUGUGAACCUCUUUCGCUCAUGGUCAGGCCGCAACAAUGGUUGUGGUGAGGGUAGUGGGUAAAGAAGCGCCGGCUAACUACGU
RNAcentral lists this ribosomal RNA (482 nucleotides) under uncultured bacterium. RNAcentral's name for it is "partial 16S ribosomal RNA". It matches the Rfam family "Bacterial small subunit ribosomal RNA", at positions 28 to 506 of the family's 1533-position model. The record is from RNAcentral.